RNAcentral lists this ribosomal RNA (701 nucleotides) under uncultured bacterium. Its description in RNAcentral is "partial 16S ribosomal RNA". It matches the Rfam family "Bacterial small subunit ribosomal RNA", at positions 59 to 749 of the family's 1533-position model. The record is from RNAcentral.
CAGUCGAACGGCAGCACAGCAGUAGCAAUACUGUGGGUGGCGAGUGGCGGACGGGUGAGGAAURCAUSGGAAUCUGCCYWKUYGUGGGGGAUAACGUAGGGAAACUUACGCUAAUACCGCAUACGWCCKRMRGGWGAAAGYGGSGGACCKYMRGGCSUCRCGCGACURGAUGAGCCSAUGYCGGAUUAGCUAGUUGGCGGGGUAAAGGCCCACCAAGGCGACGAUCCGUAGCUGGUCUGAGAGGAUGAUCAGCCACACUGGAACUGAGACACGGUCCAGACUCCUACGGGAGGCAGCAGUGGGGAAUAUUGGACAAUGGGCGCAAGCCUGAUCCAGCCAUGCCGCGUGWGUGAAGAAGGCCUUCGGGUUGUAAAGCWCUUUUGUCCGGAAAGAAAAGSUUCGGGUUAAUAMCCCGGAGUKAUGACGGUACCGGAAGAAUAAGCACCGGCUAACUUCGUGCCAGCAGCCGCGGUAAUACGAAGGGUGCAAGCGUUACUCGGAAUUACUGGGCGUAAAGCGUGCGUAGGUGGUUYGUUAAGUCUGAUGUGAAAGCCCUGGGCUCAACCUGGGAAYKGCAUUGGAAACUGGCUGACUAGAGUGCGGUAGAGGGKWGUGGAAUUCCCGGUGUAGCAGUGAAAUGCGUAGAUAUCGGGAGGAACAUCUGUGGCGAAGGCGACACCCUGGACCAGCACUGACACUGA